RNAcentral lists this ribosomal RNA (253 nucleotides) under uncultured bacterium. Its description in RNAcentral is "partial 16S ribosomal RNA". It matches the Rfam family "Bacterial small subunit ribosomal RNA", at positions 524 to 776 of the family's 1533-position model. The record is from RNAcentral.
UACGUAGGGGGCAAGCGUUGUCCGGAUUUAUUGGGCGUAAAGAGCGUGUAGGCGGCCUGAAAGGUCAGCUGUGAAAACUCGAGGCUCAACCUCGAGACGUCGGUUGAAACCAUCUGGCUAGAGUCCGGAAGAGGAGAGUGGAAUUCCCGGUGUAGCGGUGAAAUGCGCAGAUAUCGGGAGGAACACCAAUGGCGAAGGCAGCUCGCUGGGACGGUACUGACGCUGAGACGCGAAAGCGUGGGGAGCAAACAGG